GCUGGAGUAGCUCAGUCGGCAGAGCACCGCCAUGGUAAGGCGGGGGUCGUGGGUUCGAUUCCCACCUCCAGCU
This 73-nucleotide transfer RNA is filed under the name Actinomycetota bacterium. RNAcentral's name for it is "tRNA-Thr". It matches the Rfam family "tRNA". From Rfam's summary of the family: Transfer RNA (tRNA) molecules are approximately 80 nucleotides in length. The record is from RNAcentral. Lineage: Bacteria; Bacillati; Actinomycetota. RNAcentral also lists the same sequence under 1 other name.